CUUGCAUGGACACUUGGACUUCUCAUUUGCGUCGGCAUGGCAUCCUGAUGGUGUCACUUUUGCAACCGGGAACCAAGACAAAACAUGCCGAAUUUGGGAUGUUCGAAACUUGUCAAGGUCAAUUGCUGUUCUCAAGGGGAACCUUGGAGCAAUACGGUCCAUUCGCUACACAUCUGAUGGUAAGUACAUGGCCAUGGCUGAGCCUGCUGACUUUGUGCAUGUGUAUGACGUGAAAAGUGGGUAUGAGAAUGAGCAAGAAAUCGAUUUCUUUGGUGAGAUAUCUGGCCUAUCCUUUAGUCCGGACACAGAGUCUCUCUUUAUUGGCGUAUGGGAUCGUACAUAUGGCAGCCUUCUUGAGUAUGGCCGGCGGAGGAACUACUUUUAUCUUCAUUCCCUAAUGUGAGUUGAUUGUGAUGCAGUCAAAACAAGCAUGUUGGUGUAGUUUAUGAUAUUUGAGGAACUUGUAUCAUUACAAGUUGUCGAAGAGGGUUUACUGUAGAUGUAAAUGUAAAAUGAAACGAAUUAUGUAACUUUAGGUGAUUGCUGUUGAAUUAGAAUUUAGUUUUCUGAUGAUAUAAGAUGUUAAUGGGAGAAAGGGUAGAAUUAGAUAGGGUUCUUAAGUUGAACAAAAGUGAAAGACGUGUAUGGUUUCCUUUGCUGGGGAGCUACACACUACAGGUUUUAAAUUUGAAUUUAUGAACGGUGGAUUUGACUCAACUAAGAUUCGUAUACUAGUAUACCCAAAUAUUAUAAAAAAUAGUGAUAUAAUUAGAGGAUGUAUUUUUGUUUACCUCAACCUGUUCAUGUGUCCAGCUGUUGUCAUGGGUUGAAGCUUUAGCUCGGCUAUUCAUACGGCCUUAGAUGCCGCACAAUAAGCUCAACCAACAAUGAUGAAAGGAUAUAGUCAAUACCCAAAGACACACAAGGUUAAAGGCACUUGAGAGAGAAGUUUAACAAGGAGCAAUGAUAAAAGAUAUAGUCGAUUGCAAAAACCACACGCAAGGUUAAAGGCACUUGAUAGAAGAUAACGCAAGGAUAACACUUAAAGGAUAAAGGCACUUAAGAUAGUCAAUGCCAAAAAACACACACAAGGUUAAAGGCACUUGAGAGAGAGAGAGAGAUAACACAAGGAAAACACUUGCGAGAUGAUAAAGGCACACAAGGAAGAUUGUAGGAAAAUGCUUCGGUAUUUGACCGUCAAUGUGCGAACGUCGAACCCGAGGGACAUAAAGUAAUCAAAAUGCUAUGAAUCAAAAUACAUGCAAGGGAAAAACUAUUAAGCUACUAAGGCAACUAUUUAUUACGACAAUGGUAAAGAAAUGAUUUCUUACAAUUCCUAAUAAGAGAAUAAAUGUGCAAAAAUCCAAUUAUCGAAAUUAACAAAUAGGCAACAAUAGUGAUUGGUUAAUUUCCAUGCUAACAGUGAAUUUGUGCAUAAGGGAUUUAAUCACUAAUUUUCUCAUUUAUUAACAUCUCACAUUAAGUAUAUUCAAUAGAUAUUGCUCGUUUGAGCAUGCUUCCAGUAGAACCAGUGAGUAUGGUUCGAUUGAGCAUACUUUCAAUAGAAUCAGUAUCUCAUUUUUUUUUUAAGAUCAUACUAUUAUACAAUAUGAUAUUUAAUAAAAUUAUAUCAACAUAGAAUAUAAAAAUUGUUAGAAGUAUAAAUAAUCGUACAAACUUACAGGAUUGAUUUGUAGUAACGGCUUAGAAUAUCUUAAUCAGUUAGGCUUGUCUCUUCGGAUUAUUAGCUUGACGCUUAUAGAAGAAUCGAAACCUUUUCAUCUUUCAAAGGAAAUCCUGGAGCUCUAGCGAGAUCAUUAAAGUUUCCAUGUGUUGGACCAAAAAAUCUUCUUUGGCUCCUAAAGAUGGUUUGAUUGAUAACAUAGGUUUAACUCAUGAGGAGCCUUUUUCCAAGGCUGAACCUUUCUUAACACCAAUGGUGUUGUUCAAGUAACGUCAGGAAGAGCAACUACUGGAGGAGUGGUACGGGAUGGUACUGGUGAUUGGGUGAUUGGUUAUAAUAGAUUCCUAGGGAAUUGUUCGAUUUUUGACACGGAACUUUGGGGCAUUUUGGAUGGCUUAAAACUCCUCCAACGUAGAGGUCAUAGCAGUGUAGUUAUUCACUUUGAUAGCUUGGAGGUAGUAAAAGCUAUUCAUGGCAAUAUUUCGAAGAUCUCAAACUCUACCCUGAUCAAAAGAAUACAUAGUAUUUUGUCCCAAGAAAGUCAAUGGAUUUAAGAUAUAUCCCAGGGAGGAGAAUCAAUGUGCUGACUAUCUUGCCAAAUUGGCCUUUGAAAGGAAAAAGAAUUUACAACUGGUUGAAACCCUCCAGAUGCAGUGUUAGAUUUCCUUAAUUCAAAUAAAGAAAGGAAUUUUUAUACCUCUCGAAUAUUUCAUGUAAUUUAAUUUUGUUAUGCUUCUUUUCACAAAAAAAAAAAUUGGGAUCGUUUAGUUUUAAGUGGUAAAAUGACUAAAAUACCCUUAAGGUUAAAUCCUUACAAAUAGUUUUAAAAUGGUUCACAAAUCGCUUCCGCAAUAAGAUUAGAAAGUUAUUAGUUAGAAUUGAGGUGUUAUAAGGUUGGAGUGUCUUUUGGGGUGGUUUUGUGCUAGAGAAUCACUUUGGUGGCUAAUGUAUCGGUUCAGAUUCGGGUCGGUCCGUUCCGGUCGGGUUUAGGGUGUCACAAAAUUCACAUCUCAUAAAAUUAUUUCAAAGGAAUAACUCGUCUUAUAUAUAUACUUACCAAAUAAUACAAUGUCUAAAAGCAACGUUUUUAAAUAGUUUAGAUUAUAGAAACACAAAUCGUAAAUUUCAAGCUAUUCCUCGCUGACCUUAUCUUUUUCUUUCUUUUUCAAGGAUUCCGAAACAACGUUAGCUAUGGAUUGAAAUAAUUAAAAUAAAUUAAUAAUACAAAACCCAAUUCACAUUCAAUUACAAAAUUUAUACUAUUUUUGCAUAAAGCUCGAUUUAGUCCCUAAAACUGAAACUAACUUAACUUCCACAUUUAACCUCAAAUUUUUAUACCAAUUUCACUCUAAUCUAAAUUUAGCUCCCUAUUUCUCAGUUCUACCCCAUAAUUUUGAAUUUUCAUAAUUUGGUCUCUAUUAUUUAAAAUCAACAAUUAAAAUCACAAUUGAUAAAAAAACAAUUAACUUCAUAAUUUAGUCCUUUUUCACUUCUAACCUAAAAAUCUAUCAAAUUAAUCCCUAAAGUUUUAACUACUCAAUAAUGGUAACAACUAAAAUCUUAAGCAAUACUGAAAAAUAGUACAUAGGUCAACUAACUUUCGAGUCGUUACAAUUAACUUAAAAUGAUUAAAGAUAUUAAAGAAAAGCAACAAUAAUUAAAUUGAAAUGAGGCGGGGAUGAAAACAUCCAACAUUCAUAGAUAUAGUAAUGUUUUCAAGAUUAUAAAUAUAUAAACGGAGUAGAGUGCGCUGACUAUGGAGCAAUGGUAGAUUUAACAAUAACUACCUGCUCGCUCCAUUGUCAUUCCUAAGCAUAGAUUUAUUACUUUGUAAAUAUAUAUAUAAAUGUAAUUUUGACGUUAAUUAGUAUGGUUUUCACUCAUGCUUCGUAUUGGAUUAAUUAUUAUUUUUUAAUUAAAUUAUAGAAUAGAAAAUUUAAAGGUUACAAUAAGCUCAAAGUUCUUGUACUCUUUGUAUAAUUAAAAUUUAAUCUUCAUACUUCUAUUUUUAUGAAUUUAAUCUCUUUACUUUUUGAAUUUAAAAAUUUAGGUCCAUUUGGAAUAUAUAAAACAUUUAGACUAUCUAAUGGAGGUAGUAAACUAUGUCAAAAUUAAAGUAUAGAAAUUAAAUUUCAAAUUUAAGUGAAAAUAUACUAUUUUUAUAUUAUCUCAAAAAUGUAAAAAUAAAGGGAUUAAAACUGAAAUUUAACCAUUAUCUUCUCGUGUAAGAAAAAUGGAAAAAGGAUAUGUGUCAUGUAAGAAGGCCCUAAGUCACUCCAUUUAUAUGAGUAUAGAUAUUUUGAUCUGCAGAUCGUCGGUAAUCACCUUCCAGUAAGAAUCUCUUACAUUUUAAAAGGUAAACUCUCUCGCUUUUUAUUUUUUAUUUUCUUGUUCGCUUUUGCAUUCUUCGAUCUCGAGUCAGUUUUCUUUAUGUGAUCAUUUCUGUUUAUCUCUUCAUUGGUGCGUACGGAUGUUAAUUACUUUCCUAUAACAUUUUUGGAGUUUGCCCCCUUUCUUUUUAAUUAAUUAUUUUUUUGUUUAUGGAUAACAUUUAUUAUUCUCAACUGAUUGUUCCCUGCUGUUGUUGCAUGAUUGUUAUGAUCCGGGACAUUAAAUUUUGGUUGGAAUUUCAAUUAGGGUUCAUACUAAUGAGCCCAGUUCUUGUUUGUGCCAUUUUUUCCUCUUUUUACCAGUAAUUGCGUGUUUCAUUCAUGGACACAUAAUUCUCAUGUAUAUAAAUUUGAUCAAGAGUUGGCUUUUUUGUUAGGCCCCAAGAUCCAGAAGGAUGAAUAAUUCCGCAAAUGGGAAUGUAAAAUAGAAAGAAAAAAAAAGCUCGAUCUUUUUAUGAGACAAAAGUUCCCAAAUCUGGAGACAAAGUUGUUUUACUCUUGCUUUUCGGAUAUUUCAUGCUUGAAUAAAAACGCAAAUCUCUUAUCUGUCUUAACAUGAUUAUGGCAUAAUUGAAUUGAAAAUGUUGCAAAAAUAACUUCAAAAUGUAGUUAAUUUCUCGAAAUUACUUAUGGCGGCAUUGACUUGUGCACUCUCAGUCUUUAAUUAGUUUAUCUAUAUGCUGAUGGAAGUAUUUCGUACAUGUUGAGAAUUGGCAUAAAACUGUUACUAUUAUAAAGGAUUUGUGAUUCUAUGGGCAUGUUAUUUUAGAUAUUUGUUUCCAUCUCCCUUUCUUUUUCCUUUAGCUGGAUUCCUAUGUAUAAGAGUAGGUUUGAUUUUCUUUGUAAUGUGACUAGGAUGAGGUUUUAGUAUCCUUUACUACCACUUGUACAAUAUCCUUAAAUUAGACUGUUGGAUAAUUUAAUUAUAAUUAAUGUUAAUCCUUUUUAUUGUCUUAAACAUAUCAUUGUUUAUAUUGUAACUUGUAUCAGUUGUUGCGGCAGUACAUGCCAUGUUUCUUUUCCCUAUGAUUUUAAAUGUCGUCAUCUGAUCAAUUUUGAUCAUCUCUUCACCAGUGUACGUAGCACAGAGUUUACUCCUUAGAAAUCAAUGGGAAGAGUAUCUUCCAAUUAAAUUUUGUGUGAUUCUCUAUGGGUAUUUACUUUAUAAUUGUUGGGUUACUAUAGUGCUUGAAGCUACAUUGGUACAGGUGUAGUUUUGUCUGGUGGAAUAUGUCCUAUUACCAAGAAGAUGAUGCUGAAUACAUGGCAGAGGAGUAUGACAUGGAGGACAUAGAUGACAUGGAUGAAGAGUUCUGCGGCAGAGAUAUGUCUGGCUCGGAGUCUGAUGUUGAUGAAUAUGAUUACUCGGUUUGUUUGAUGAUUUACAAGAUGCAAAUUGGACUUAAAUUAAUUCAUUCAUAACUUAGGCAAACGUAAAAAAGUGUUUUUUAUUUUUUAAAAUUGGGAUAAAUCUCAAAACUAUACAUCAACUUUGAACAAAUGUGCAAUGUUAAUACAUAAAAUUUGAUUUUGUGCAAUUUUAUACUUGAAAUUUUCAUUUGAUUCAAUUUUUACAAAUCAUUAACAUAAUUAUAAAUAAAGAGUUACCUGACAAUUAUAUAUUGCAUAUAUAAAUAAUUAUUUUUAUCUAAUAAAUAAAUAAAAUUGAUAUAAUUUUUUUUUAAAAUGUGUACAGUUGAAUCAAAAUCAAAGUUUUAAUUAUACAUUUCAACUUCAAUCAAAGUUUCAUGUGUAUGAUUGUAUCAAAUCAAAGUUCAUGUAUCAAAUUUGCACAUUAGGUUGAAGUUAAUGUGUAGUUUUUGAGAUUUAUCCAUUAAUUUUUUUUUUAAAGUUUCUGUUCUAGUUCUCAUGGAUUGCUAGCCAGCCUAACAUAAGUUGACGGUAUUGCAGAAUAAUAAAAUAUCUGAUACUUCUGCUGCUGAAGCUAGAAGAGGAAAAGACAUCCAGGGAAUACCUUGGGAUCAGCUAAGCAUCACUAGGGAAAAAUACAGGCAAACUAGGCUAGAACAGUACAAGAACUAUGAGAAUAUCCCCCACUCUGGGGAAGUGUCAGGGAAGGUAAAAGUACUUAAAAGUUGCCCGCUUUCCUUCUAAAAUGUGCUAAAUUGAAAUUUCAAUUUGUAUGUAGGAUUGCAAGAUUACCAAGAAGGGUGCAUCAUACUAUGACUUCAGGCUAAAUUCAAGAUCUGUGAAAUCAACAAUACUUCAUUUUCAGGUUAGCUGAAUGGGAAUUUUCAUUCAAGACCUGUGAUGUCAUAGAAGGAUUUGUCUUUUUCUUGUUAAAAUUCUUUCUCAUAUCUUGUAGUUGUACGGCCAGUCCUUUCCUCUUUUACUGCUUGACUGUGGUGUGAUCAUUAUUGUUAGUGAUAGACAUAUCAAUUUGUGGUGAUGCAGUUGAGGAACCUGGUAUGGGCUACAUCAAAACAUGAUGUUUAUCUCAUGUCACAAUUUUCUGUCAUGCAUUGGUCUUCAUUGACACACAAGAAGCGUGAAAUUCUUAAUGUUUCUGGGCAUGUGGCACCAUCUGAGGUCUGUGCUCUGGCAGUGAUUUGGCACUUUAUCUGACUUGUUGGUCUUCUUCCUUUUCUUUUCUUGUUAUCCCCCCAUAUUGUUUCCUCAGAUUGAUUUGCGUGUUUUUCCCUUUUAGAAACAUCCUGGAAGUCUGAUGGAAGGUUUUACGCAAACUCAAGUCAGUACUCUUGCAGUAAAGGAUAAGCUGCUAGUUGCUGGAGGAUUCCAGGGUGAACUAAUAUGUAAGGUAAGGAAAGCAACUUUUUUCCUUUCAAUCCUUCAUUGACAAAAAAGAGGUCAGAAAGAGGGAUAAGCCUUUGUGCAGUGAUUGCGGAGCUACUUUUCCAUGCAAUAUAGCUACUUUUCAGUUUUUGCAAGUCACUUGAAGCCUAACAUUUAUAUCUUAACUGUUAUAGACAAUCUAUUGUUAGACAUAUCUGUGAUCCUGUAAGAUGGAUCUGAGUAGAAGGUUCUAUUAUGCAUUUUAGAGCUAAUGAUUUUGCGCUCAUUCUGUUCCAAACCUCAUUUACUUGUUUGUCUUGUUUUGAACUACUUACUGCUUAAAACUUUGUGAAUGACAGGUAAAAAAAUGUAUUUGGAUAGUUUCUUUUUUCCCCUUAGCUCUUGGUUGCUGUUUUUCUGAUGCCAGUUAUUUAAGAAUUAAUUAGUCGAUUUUGAUCUGUAAUGUAGCAUUUAGAUCGACCUGGAAUAAGCUUCUGCUCCAGGACAACUUAUGAUGACAAUGCCAUUACAAAUGCUGUUGAGAUUUAUGUCACUCCAAGGUAUUUCUUGUUUCCUGAUCUGCUGUUGACACUGAUCUCAGUCAACCUGAACCUAAUUUGCAUUGUUCCUGAAUUACCAGUGGCGCAGUUCACUUUACGGCCUCAAAUAAUGACUGUGGAGUCAGAGAUUUUGAUAUGGAGAAAUAUCAGCUUUCCAAGCAUUUUCAUUUUCUUUGGCCUGUCAAUGUAAGUUACAUACAUUAGGAUUUCAUUGUUUCAGAUCUGUAAACAUACAGUAAUGUUAUUUUGUGUAUUAUUAAUUCUGAUUCUGUUAAUCCAAUAAAGGCAAAUGGUGAGAAAUACUUAAAAGCUAUGCUUGUAAUGUUGCUUUUGCAGCAUACUUCUCUGAGCCCUGAUGGGAAACUUCUAAUAAUAGUUGGAGACAACCCUGAUAUUAUGUUGGUAGACUCUGAUACAGGGAAGGUACUUGUCAUCCUGCUUUUGCAAUAUUGUUUACAUUUUUGGAGAUUGCAAAGCAUCAGCUGAUACUGAAAUUAAUUGCAGACUGUUAUGCCCUUGCGUGGACACUUGGACUUUUCAUUUGCGUCAGCAUGGCAUCCUGAUGGUGUCACUUUUGCAACCGGGAACCAAGACAAAACAUGCCGAAUUUGGGAUGUUCGAAACUUGUCAAAGUCAAUUGCUGUUCUAAAGGGAAACCUUGGAGCAAUACGGUCCAUUCGCUACACAUCUGAUGGUAAGUACAUGGCCAUGGCUGAGCCUGCUGACUUUGUGCAUGUGUAUGAUGUCAAAAGUGGGUACGAGAAUGAGCAAGAAAUCGAUUUCUUUGGUGAGAUAUCCGGCCUAUCCUUUAGUCCGGACACAGAGUCUCUCUUUAUUGGCGUAUGGGAUCGUACAUAUGGCAGCCUUCUUGAGUAUAGCCG
Molecule: long non-coding RNA, 8269 nt
Filed under: Gossypium raimondii (Peruvian cotton)
Lineage: Eukaryota; Viridiplantae; Streptophyta; Magnoliopsida; Malvales; Malvaceae
Description: long non-coding RNA (GRAI_LNC007886)
Source: RNAcentral